Molecule: long non-coding RNA, 216 nt
Filed under: Elaeis guineensis (African oil palm)
Lineage: Eukaryota; Viridiplantae; Streptophyta; Magnoliopsida; Arecales; Arecaceae
Description: long non-coding RNA (EGUI_LNC057140)
Source: RNAcentral
UAUCAAAUAAUUUUUAGUAUUCAAUUUUAUCCUAGACACCUCUUCAGCAGGCGUGUGGUGCCUCCACUGAAAGUUUUGCUUAAGUCCAACCAUUAACAUGCUAGAAUUUAGUGUAUCUAACAAACGAGUGAUCAGGUCUAAAUGUGGCUCGACUAACCUGACCAUUAUCAGAAAGACAACUAAAACAACAUAUUAUAAAUGAUAAUUCUGAUAGCC